UAAGGAAUAUUGGUCAAUGGGCGCAAGCCUGAACCAGCCAUGCCGCGUGCAGGAAGACGGCCCUAUGGGUUGUAAACUGCUUUUGUCAGGGAAUAAACCCCCGCUCGUGAGCGGGGCUGAAGGUACCUGAAGAAUAAGCAUCGGCUAACUCCGUGCCAGCAGCCGCGGUAAUACGGAGGAUGCAAGCGUUAUCCGGAUUCAUUGGGUUUAAAGGGUGCGCAGGCGGAUUGGUAAGUCAGGGGUGAAAUCCCACAGCUCAACUGUGGAACUGCCUUUGAUACUGUCAGUCUAGAGUAUAGUUGAAGUGGGCGGAAUGUGUCAUGUAGCGGUGAAAUGCUUAGAUAUGACACAGAACACCGAUCGCGAAGGCAGCCCGCUAAGCUAUAACUGACGCUCAUGCACGAAAGCGUGGGGAUCAAACAG
This 423-nucleotide ribosomal RNA is filed under the name uncultured bacterium. Its description in RNAcentral is "bacterial SSU rRNA". It matches the Rfam family "Bacterial small subunit ribosomal RNA", at positions 355 to 775 of the family's 1533-position model. The record is from RNAcentral.